UGGGGAAUAUUGGACAAUGGGCGCAAGCCUGAUCCAGCCAUGCCGCGUGAGUGACGAAGGCCUUAGGGUUGUAAAGCUCUUUUGGCGGGGAAGAUAAUGACGGUACCCGCAGAAUAAGCUCCGGCUAACUUCGUGCCAGCAGCCGCGGUAAUACGAAGGGAGCUAGCGUUGUUCGGAAUCACUGGGCGUAAAGCGCACGUAGGCGGAUGUGUCAGUCAGGGGUGAAAUCCCGGAGCUCAACUUCGGAACUGCCCUUGAUACAGCACGUCUUGAGUCCGAUAGAGGUGGGUGGAAUUCCUAGUGUAGAGGUGAAAUUCGUAGAUAUUAGGAAGAACACCGGUGGCGAAGGCGGCCCACUGGAUCAGUACUGACACUCAAGUGCGAAAGCGUGGGGAGCAAACAGGAUUAGAUACCCACGUAGUCCCUGAGCGGGCUGGCAAGGCGCAU
Molecule: ribosomal RNA, 447 nt
Filed under: uncultured bacterium
Lineage: Bacteria
Description: bacterial SSU rRNA
Rfam family: Bacterial small subunit ribosomal RNA
Source: RNAcentral